RNAcentral lists this ribosomal RNA (497 nucleotides) under uncultured bacterium. RNAcentral describes it as "partial 16S ribosomal RNA". It matches the Rfam family "Bacterial small subunit ribosomal RNA", at positions 28 to 507 of the family's 1533-position model. The record is from RNAcentral.
GAUGAACGCUGGCGGCGUGCCUAAUACAUGCAAGUCGAGCGAACAGACGAGGAGCUUGCUCCUCUGACGUUAGCGGCGGACGGGUGAGUAACACGUGGAUAACCUACCUAUAAGACUGGGAUAACUUCGGGAAACCGGAGCUAAUACCGGAUAAUAUAUUGAACCGCAUGGUUCAAUAGUGAAAGACGGUUUUGCUGUCACUUAUAGAUGGAUCCGCGCCGCAUUAGCUAGUUGGUAAGGUAACGGCUUACCAAGGCAACGAUGCGUAACCGACCUGAGAGGGUGAUCGGCCACACUGGAACUGGGACACGGUCCAGGCUCCUACGGGAGGCAGCAGUAGGGAAUCUGCCGCAAUGGGCGAAAGCCUGACGGAGCAACGCCGCGUGAGUGAUGAAGGUCUUCGGAUCGUAAAACUCUGUUAUUAGGGAAGAACAAAUGUGUAAGUAACUAUGCACGUCUUGACGGUACCUAAUCAGAAAGCCACGGCUAACUACGUG